RNAcentral lists this ribosomal RNA (1372 nucleotides) under uncultured bacterium. Its description in RNAcentral is "bacterial SSU rRNA". It matches the Rfam family "Bacterial small subunit ribosomal RNA", at positions 28 to 1381 of the family's 1533-position model. The record is from RNAcentral.
GAUGAACGCUGGCGGCGUGCCUAAUACAUGCAAGUCGAGCGAACGGACGAGAAGCUUGCUUCUCUGAUGUUAGCGGCGGACGGGUGAGUAACACGUGGAUAACCUACCUAUAAGACUGGGAUAACUUCGGGAAACCGGAGCUAAUACCGGAUAAUAUUUUGAACCGCAUGGUUCAAAAGUGAAUGACGGUCUUGCUGUCACUUAUAGAUGGAUCCGCGCUGCAUUAGCUAGUUGGUAAGGUAACGGCUUACCAAGGCAACGAUGCAUAGCCGACCUGAGAGGGUGAUCGGCCACACUGGAACUGAGACACGGUCCAGACUCCUACGGGAGGCAGCAGUAGGGAAUCUUCCGCAAUGGGCGAAAGCCUGACGGAGCAACGCCGCGUGAGUGAUGAAGGUCUUCGGAUCGUAAAACUCUGUUAUUAGGGAAGAACAUAUGUGUAAGUAACUGUGCACAUCUUGACGGUACCUAAUCAGAAAGCCACGGCUAACUACGUGCCAGCAGCCGCGGUAAUACGUAGGUGGCAAGCGUUAUCCGGAAUUAUUGGGCGUAAAGCGCGCGUAGGCGGUUUUUUAAGUCUGAUGUGAAAGCCCACGGCUCAACCGUGGAGGGUCAUUGGAAACUGGAAAACUUGAGUGCAGAAGAGGAAAGUGGAAUUCCAUGUGUAGCGGUGAAAUGCGCAGAGAUAUGGAGGAACACCAGUGGCGAAGGCGACUUUCUGGUCUGUAACUGACGCUGAUGUGCGAAAGCGUGGGGAUCAAACAGGAUUAGAUACCCUGGUAGUCCACGCCGUAAACGAUGAGUGCUAAGUGUUAGGGGGUUUCCGCCCCUUAGUGCUGCAGCUAACGCAUUAAGCACUCCGCCUGGGGAGUACGACCGCAAGGUUGAAACUCAAAGGAAUUGACGGGGACCCGCACAAGCGGUGGAGCAUGUGGUUUAAUUCGAAGCAACGCGAAGAACCUUACCAAAUCUUGACAUCCUUUGACAACUCUAGAGAUAGAGCUUUCCCCUUCGGGGGACAAAGUGACAGGUGGUGCAUGGUUGUCGUCAGCUCGUGUCGUGAGAUGUUGGGUUAAGUCCCGCAACGAGCGCAACCCUUAAGCUUAGUUGCCAUCAUUAAGUUGGGCACUCUAAGUUGACUGCCGGUGACAAACCGGAGGAAGGUGGGGAUGACGUCAAAUCAUCAUGCCCCUUAUGAUUUGGGCUACACACGUGCUACAAUGGACAAUACAAAGGGCAGCGAAACCGCGAGGUCAAGCAAAUCCCAUAAAGUUGUUCUCAGUUCGGAUUGUAGUCUGCAACUCGACUACAUGAAGCUGGAAUCGCUAGUAAUCGUAGAUCAGCAUGCUACGGUGAAUACGUUCCCGGGUCU